AGAGUUUGAUCCUGGCUCAGGACGAACGCUGGCGGCGUGCUUAACACAUGCAAGUCGAACGGAGCACCCCUGAAGGAGUUUUCGGACAACGGAAGGGAAUGCUUAGUGGCGGACUGGUGAGUAACGCGUGAGGAACCUGCCUUUCAGAGGGGGACAACAGUUGGAAACGACUGCUAAUACCGCAUGAUGUAUCGGAAUCGCAUGGUACUGAUACCAAAGAUUUAUCGCUGAAAGAUGGCCUCGCGUCUGAUUAGCUAGUUGGUGAGGUAACGGCCCACCAAGGCGACGAUCAGUAGCCGGACUGAGAGGUUGACCGGCCACAUUGGGACUGAGAUACGGCCCAGACUCCUACGGGAGGCAGCAGGUGGGGAAUAUUGGGCAAUGGACGCAAGUCUGACCCAGCAACGCCGCGUGAAGGAAGAAGGCUUUCGGGUUGUAAACUUCUUUAAGGGGGAAGAGCAGAAGACGGUACCCCUUGAAUAAGCCACGGCUAACUACGUG
This 501-nucleotide ribosomal RNA is filed under the name uncultured Oscillibacter sp. RNAcentral's name for it is "bacterial SSU rRNA". It matches the Rfam family "Bacterial small subunit ribosomal RNA", at positions 8 to 507 of the family's 1533-position model. Lineage: Bacteria; Bacillati; Bacillota; Clostridia; Eubacteriales; Oscillospiraceae. The record is from RNAcentral.